RNAcentral lists this ribosomal RNA (253 nucleotides) under uncultured bacterium. RNAcentral describes it as "partial 16S ribosomal RNA". It matches the Rfam family "Bacterial small subunit ribosomal RNA", at positions 524 to 776 of the family's 1533-position model. The record is from RNAcentral.
UACGUAGGGUGCAAGCGUUGUCCGGAAUUAUUGGGCGUAAAGAGCUCGUAGGCGGUUUGUCGCGUCUGCUGUGAAAACUCGGGGCUUAACUCCGGGCCUGCAGUGGGUACGGGCAGACUAGAGUGCGGUAGGGGAGACUGGAAUUCCUGGUGUAGCGGUGAAAUGCGCAGAUAUCAGGAGGAACACCGGUGGCGAAGGCGGGUCUCUGGGCCGUCCCUGACGCUGAGGCGCGAAGGCGUGGGGAGCGAACGGG